This is a non-coding RNA of Chelonoidis abingdonii (Abingdon island giant tortoise), 2727 nucleotides long. The record is from RefSeq and is a predicted model, not a curated record. NCBI's taxonomy places the organism in Eukaryota, Metazoa, Chordata, Testudines, Testudinidae.
CACUGCUCCCAGGUGCCCAGCAAUGGGAGGAGGCGAGGAGGCCGCAUGGCUCAUCCUGGGGGAGGAGUGAGACCCGGGGGUCUGGCCCGCUGAAGGCUCCUCCCAGGGACUGUUCCCAGGUUCGGGGUCAGAGCCCCGACCCUGUGGGUCCGUGAGACCCCCCUCCCUAGGAAGAGCAUGGCAGAGCUGUGCGGGGUGCAGCUGGUUGCAUGACUGGAGAAGGCUGGUCAGAUGCAGGCGGGGUCCUGAGAGCACAAGGGCAAUGAAUGCAGCAGCAGGGCGUCCUCACACCCAAUUCCCAUCUCUGGAGCUGCAGCAGAGGGAGGGAGGGAGCCCAGUGGUGCACACAAGGCAGGGAGCUGACUGAGACACUGGAUAUACCAGGAAAAGCAGCCACAGCUGCCCCUGGAUGUGGACAAGCAUAAGGUCCCAUUGAGGGAUGAGUGGGGAGAGUCUACGGGCACCUAUGUUGUACCAAGUGCCCAGUUUAAGGGAGGGCGAUACAGACCUUGGUCUUUGAGACGGCUGCGCUUUGAGCCUGGUCCCACCCUCUCGCCCCUGCCCGAUCCCUGGUGAUAGAGGUGCACAGCCAGAUGGAGGGCGUGGUGCUCACAGGACUAGGUUUUGGCGUGUGCAGUGCCCAAGAGAUCGAUGUACGUGGAAGCCUCCCCUGCCCCCAGAUGGGAGUUUGUCUCCGCACACGUUUUUAUGAGCUGCUCGGGUCUGAGCAACGCCAGGAUCUGUCCUGCAAGCUGAACCUGGUGGUAGUAGGAAGCUGGAGGAGCUGCACCAUGCAGGCUGGUUGGCAGAUGUUUGUGGGUUUGGGUAUGAAAAUGAACCCAAAGGGAUGAGGCCAAGCCUGGGUCCUGGGAAACUAACCAGUGGGGCUGCUCCAGAUGUGGGACCUGGGGAAAGGCAACGUGGGGGUAGCUGACCCGAGGAGAUCCCCACGUAGGGAUCUCAAAGCCCUGAUGGUAACGUUUGUGAGAAGAGUGGGCAAAAGGGGAGGAGAAGGGGCACUCUGUCACCUGUUUGUGAGUCACUAGCAACUCAAAGGAAAAGUCUCUUAAAUGCCUUUGGCACCAAGGGCAAACAGAUACCGCACAUGCUGGGCAUUACUUGGUGUCUGCUGCAGACAGGAAACCAGCCCAGGACCUGGAGAGAGAGGGCAAGGACAUGCUGGCUUUAGGGGUGACCCAGCCAUCCUCCAACCCCUGGGCCUUGCCUGUGGGACUGAUCCCCAAGAAGGACGGGUUGAUCUGGUUCAGUGGGGACCAUCCGAAGCUCAGUGCCAUCAGUAUGUCUGAUGCCUACCCCGUGCUCUUGACUGAUGAGACCCUAGACAAGUUGGGGCGGGGCCUGGUAUCUCAUUACCACAGAUCUCACCAAAGGCCACUGGCCGGUGCCCUUGCACCCAGAAGUAGUAAGAGCUAGAGCCAGGGAAGUCCCGUCUCCGGAGGUGGUGUAGCUGCAUGGCCUGCUCUGAAGGAAGAGUGGGACCUGCUGAGGGGUCUGGCCCACUGAAGAGUUCCUCCAAGAGGCUGUUCCAAAGCUGGGGUUGUAGCACCGAUCUGGGGGAGGUGUAACAAAUGGAGCAGCUGAUACAGAACUUGGUUAAUAAAGAAUUAAAGGAGGGUGGUAUAAUUAAUGGCAAACAUCACGGCUUUAUGGGAAAUAGACCGUGUCAAACUAACGAUGUAUUUUUUAUGAGAUGACAAGUUUGACUGGUAAAGAUAACAGUUGACAUAACAUACUCAGACUUCUCUAAGGCCUUGUCCACACUACACAGUUUUGUUGACAGAAGUCAGUUUCAUUGACAAAACAUUGGAUGAGUAUAUGCUGCACUGCAUCUCCUGUUGGUGGAACGCCCCUGCCAUGCUGAGAAAACCACCACUCCGAGAGGCACGGAGCUUCAUGCAAUGUAGGUAGAGCAGCCAGAGGCACGGAGCUUUGCACGACAUGGGGCGAGCAGCGUGGAGCUUCACGUGAUGUAGGUAGAGUGGCCAGAGGAGCGGAGCUUGGCACAACAUAGGUAGAGUGACCAGAGGCGCGGAGCUUGGCGCAACGUAGGUAGAGUGGCCAGAGGCGCGGAGCUUGGCACAACGUAGGUAGAGCGGCCAGAGGCGCGGAGCUGGGCACAAUGUAGGUAGAGCGGCCAGAGGCGCGGAGCUGGGCACAACGUAGGUAGAGUGGCCAGAGGCGUGGAGCUUGGCGCAACGUAGGUAGAGUGGCCAGAGGCGUGGAGCUUGGCGCAACGUAGGUAGAGCGGCCAGAGGCGUGGAGCUUCACGCAAUGUAGGUAGAGCGGCCAGAGGCGUGGAGCUUGGCGCAACGUAGGUAGAGCGGCGAGCAGUGCGGAGCUUGGCGCAACGUAGGUAGAGCGGCCAGAGGCAUGGAGCUUGGCACAAUGUAGGUAGAGUGGCCAGAGGCGCGGAGCUUGGCACAACGUAGGUAGAGUGGCCAGAGGCGUGGAGCUUGGCGCAAUGUAGGUAGAGUGGCCAGAGGAGCGGAGCUUGGCGCAACGUAGGUAGAGUGGUCAGAGGCGUGGAGCUUGGCGCAAAGUAGGUAGAGCAGCGAGCAGCGCGGAGCUUCACACGACGUAGGUAGAGUGGCCAGAGGAGCGGAGCUUGGCGCGACGUAGGUAGAGUGGCCAGAGGCGCGGAGCUUCAUGCGACAUAGGUAGAGCGAUGCAGUGUCAGUGUAGACACCUCACUUAGUGUUCACAUUA